Long non-coding RNA from Passer montanus (Eurasian tree sparrow), 364 nucleotides. RefSeq lists it as uncharacterized. The record is from RefSeq and is a predicted model, not a curated record. Lineage: Eukaryota; Metazoa; Chordata; Aves; Passeriformes; Passeridae. The transcript has 3 exons.
CGCGGGGCGCCCGGGCCGGGGCCAGCCGGGGAGCCGGAAUGCGCAGCCUGACUAAUCCCAUCUAUUGCUGCUCUCCUGGCUCCGAGGUGACAGAGAGGAAGGAAUCAGAAUCCCAGGCUGGUUUGGGUUGGAAGGCUGGAUUUUAAGGCAUUUGGACUUAGAGGAGUAUCAGAUUUUCAGGGCUCUCAGUGUGUCCUGGUUUGGAUUGCUCUUCAGGCAGAGUUUCCCAGAAGCGGGUGUGCAGGCUGCUGGACACCAUUCCACGGGAGCCUGGUGCCCAGCUCGUGGGCUGUGCCAUGGACCUGGAUUCCAGGCAGAAACUCCUCCCUGACUCUGCUCCCUGGGCUGCAAAGACAAAGCAGAA